ACUGUAAAAAGUCAUUCUGCAGGCUUGUAGAUUUUAUGAAAUUGAAUAUGUAAACUUUAUUUAAUAAAAUUAAUUUCAUGUAGUUUGUUAUUUUUUUUGUGUUAAAAUUCUUUAAAAAUGACUGGAAUAAAAACAACUUAUUGUUUUUGUGAAGGAUUUAGCUAUUCUUAUUGUGUAUCUGCGCAUGUAGCGAAUACUGAAUAAAUCCAACGUAAUAUUAAUGAGCUGUUUUAAAUCAAAAACCAUUCCGGGUUGUAUUGCAGGUCGUGAGCGCUGAGCAGACGGAUUUAGGAAAUAUUUCUGUUAUUGUGCCAAAAUUCAAAGUUUUGAAAGCAUUUCAGUCGAGAAUGUAUGUUUUUUAAACAAGAAUCUGCAGUAGGUUCAUAAAGAUAUCGCCUAUUUAAACAUUUCCUUCGAGUUUUGUGGCGAUGGGAGCUCCAGAUAAUCAGCGGGAGCUCCGCGCGUAAAUAUACCGGACAACGUCGCCUCACCUCGGCCAGUGUCGCUGAAAAUCUCCGCUGGCUGUGACGUCAAUGUAGUGUUUAAACUGUGGAUAAAAUUCAUUUCGGGUAAAUUUAACGGGCAAUCUUUAGUCUUAUAAGUCUAUAAGCAGGGUUUCUUUGUAUAAUUUGUUUGUAAUUUGUAAAUAUUAAUUACAAUAAGGAUUAAUAUGAACUGGGUUUGGACGUAACUUCAGCUUUAGGACCCAGGAGAUCGCAUAUCUAGGAUGCAUUCGUCGAUUCGCAUGCUGCGAUUGGUGGUCCAGAUUCAACUCAUUUUGAGUGACAGAAAAACUGACCAAUCAUACUGUUCCUCUGAAUGGGUGGGUUCUCUUAUCACUAACUCUCAUAGAUAUGUAUCAUGUAUGUAUCUAUUAUGACAAAUUCUGCUCGCUCUCUCGCUUGGUUCGUAUUAUAAAAAUAAAUGUGACUUUACUGCGGUCUUUUUCGGUUUAUUUAGUUUUGUGUUAAUUAUAUCCACAAAGUAUUCGAAUAAAUUGGUAAUGUAAAACUAUUCUUCGCUGUAAAUUAAUUGUGUGCUCAAUUGCGACGCCCUGUGUUGAAUUUUCCCGCGAGUACAGUAUCAUUACUGAGGGGAAAUAUAACAUUAUUCAUUUAAUUCCACAAAAGGCCUGUAACGUACUGCAGCUUCCUGCAGGCAACGUGAAACAUUGCUGAGGGAGAACUUUAUUCACAACAAAAGGAUAAAGAUGAAGAGGCGGGACUUGAGCAGCUUGUGAUGGCUGUAAUUGUAAAGAAUGGAUCUUCUAGGAGUGGAAGCCCAAAGGAUGCUGGAAUUGUUAUUGAGGCCUUAAAGGUGUUCACAGGGCAUGCUUUAUCCUUGGAUCUAUGCAUUGAAUCUCCAGUAUCCCAGGCAUCUUUUCAGGUGUUUCAGAAACUUUUCUUGGAGCUGGAUUCUUCAAAGUUUAUAAACUGAUUACAGUACAGUAAGUCUAAACUGCUGUCUGAUGUUCUGGUUGUUAAUCAAUGUAAUAGAACACAAACAUGGAACAUUUCGUCGGGAAAUGUGGACGGUUUUCUUUAAAGACUGUAAAAUACUUUUUGAAGUUUACACUGUUACAAAUACAUCAUUAAAAUGAGAUGCUUUCCUGUUCUUUUGACUGCAAUAAAAUAAGAAUUGAUUCAUCUUUGUCUGUCAUUCUGAAAUCAGAUAUAAUACUCAUUACUAAUAAAAAUAUUAAUGGAUGAUGUUAAAUUAAAAUAGUAUAAUUGAAUAGAAUUUAUUGUAUAGUGCUAGGUCUUUGUCCUGU
Molecule: non-coding RNA, 1771 nt
Organism: Paramisgurnus dabryanus
Lineage: Eukaryota; Metazoa; Chordata; Actinopteri; Cypriniformes; Cobitidae
Source: RefSeq, a predicted model, not a curated record